This 716-nucleotide ribosomal RNA is filed under the name uncultured bacterium. RNAcentral's name for it is "bacterial SSU rRNA". It matches the Rfam family "Bacterial small subunit ribosomal RNA", at positions 140 to 851 of the family's 1533-position model. The record is from RNAcentral.
GGGAUAACCGGGAGAAAUCCCGACUAAUACCGCGUAACGCCGCGGGGCUGCAUGGCCCGGCGGCCAAAGGAAGCGAUUCCGGCGGGGGAUGGGCAUGCGGCGCAUUAGCUAGUCGGCGGGGUAACGGCCCACCGAGGCGACGAUGCGUAGGGGUUCUGAGAGGAAGGUCCCCCACACUGGUACUGAGACACGGACCAGACUCCUACGGGAGGCAGCAGUGAGGAAUAUUGGUCAAUGGGCGGGAGCCUGAACCAGCCAAGUCGCGUGAGGGAAGACGGUCCUAUGGAUUGUAAACCUCUUUUGCCGGGGAGCAACGGGGUCCUUGCGAGGGCCUAAUGAGAGUACCCGGAGAAAAAGCAUCGGCUAACUCCGUGCCAGCAGCCGCGGUAAUACGGAGGAUGCGAGCGUUAUCCGGAUUUAUUGGGUUUAAAGGGUGCGUAGGCGGGCUGUUAAGUCAGCGGUCAAAUGUCGGGGCUCAACCCCGGCCUGCCGUUGAAACUGGCGGCCUCGAGUGGGCGAGAAGUAUGCGGAAUGCGUGGUGUAGCGGUGAAAUGCAUAGAUAUCACGCAGAACUCCGAUUGCGAAGGCAGCAUACCGGCGCCCUACUGACGCUGAGGCACGAAAGCGUGGGUAUCGAACAGGAUUAGAUACCCUGGUAGUCCACGCAGUAAACGAUGAAUGCUAGCUGUCCGGUUCUACGGGACUGGGUGGCACAG